UUCCUACGGGGCGCAGCAGUGAGGAAUAUUGGUCAAUGGCCGAGAGGCUGAACCAGCCAAGUCGCGUGAGGGAAGACGGCCCUACGGGUUGUAAACCUCUUUUGUCGGGGAGCAAAGAGAGUCACGUGUGACUCAUUGAGAGUACCCGAAGAAAAAGCAUCGGCUAACUCCGUGCCAGCAGCCGCGGUAAUACGGAGGAUGCGAGCGUUAUCCGGAUUUAUUGGGUUUAAAGGGUGCGUAGGCGGUCCGUUAAGUCAGCGGUAAAAUUGCGGGGCUCAACCCCGUCGAGCCGUUGAAACUGGCAG
RNAcentral lists this ribosomal RNA (305 nucleotides) under uncultured bacterium. RNAcentral's name for it is "bacterial SSU rRNA". It matches the Rfam family "Bacterial small subunit ribosomal RNA", at positions 336 to 639 of the family's 1533-position model. The record is from RNAcentral.